Long non-coding RNA from Cotesia glomerata, 259 nucleotides. RefSeq lists it as uncharacterized. The record is from RefSeq and is a predicted model, not a curated record. Lineage: Eukaryota; Metazoa; Arthropoda; Insecta; Hymenoptera; Braconidae. The transcript is spliced from 3 exons.
GAAAAUGGCUUCAAGACAAAUAUGAAGCCAAAAGUAGAAAAAGAAUAGUAAAGUUAAAGAGACUUACUUUUACUCCUCAAAUAAAAAAGAAAACCGCAAAUACUCGUAUAAAUGCUGAUAAAAAAAAUGUUGCUGCACAAAGAAAAUUAACCAACAUCCAAAAGAAAAACGUUGAACAAAAGGGUGAUGAACAUUACAAGAAUUUCUUGCAGCCACCAAACGAUAAUGAUGACGGGUCAUUUGUCAUAAAUGAUGGAGC